GUGCUCACUUCAGCAGCACAUGCACUACACCUGGAAUAGUACAGAGAAGAUUAGCAUGGUCUCUGCACCAGGAUGGCACACACAUUCAUGAAGCAUCCCACAUUUUU
Pipistrellus kuhlii (Kuhl's pipistrelle) is the source of this 107-nucleotide small nuclear RNA. The record is from RefSeq and is a predicted model, not a curated record. NCBI's taxonomy places the organism in Eukaryota, Metazoa, Chordata, Mammalia, Chiroptera, Vespertilionidae.